GCCGAAGUGGCGGAAUUGGCAGACGCGCUACGUUCAGGGCGUAGUGGGAAAAUCCUCGUGGGGGUUCGAGUCCCCCCUUCGGCACCA
RNAcentral lists this transfer RNA (87 nucleotides) under Candidatus Psychracetigena formicireducens. Its description in RNAcentral is "tRNA-Ser". It matches the Rfam family "tRNA". From Rfam's summary of the family: Transfer RNA (tRNA) molecules are approximately 80 nucleotides in length. Lineage: Bacteria; Bacillati; Candidatus Lithacetigenota. The record is from RNAcentral.